AUGAAGAAUAAUUAGUGGCAGACGGGUGAGUAAUGCAUAGGAAUCUACCUAGUAGUACGGGAUAGCCACUAGAAAUGGUGGGUAAUACUGUAUAAUCCCUGCGGGGGAAAGAUUUAUCGCUAUUAGAUGAGCCUAUGUUAGAUUAGCUAGUUGGUAGGGUAAAGGCCUACCAAGGCGAUGAUCUAUAGCUGGUCUGAGAGGAUGAUCAGCCACACUGGAACUGAGAUACGGUCCAGACUCCUACGGGAGGCAGCAGUGGGGAAUAUUGGACAAUGGGCGCAAGCCUGAUCCAGCUAUGCCGCGUGAGUGAGGAAGGCCUUAGGGUUGUAAAACUCUUUCAGUAGGGAAGAUAAUGACGGUACCUACAGAAGAAGUCCCGGCAAACUCCGUGCCAGCAGCCGCGGUAAUACGGAGGGGGCAAGCGUUGUUCGGAAUUAUUGGGCGUAAAGGGCAUGUAGGCGGUUCGGUAAGUUAAAGGUGAAAUGCCAGGGCUUAAC
Molecule: ribosomal RNA, 497 nt
Filed under: Anaplasma phagocytophilum
Lineage: Bacteria; Pseudomonadati; Pseudomonadota; Alphaproteobacteria; Rickettsiales; Anaplasmataceae
Description: bacterial SSU rRNA
Rfam family: Bacterial small subunit ribosomal RNA
Source: RNAcentral